UACAGUGUAGUCACUUAGUUCGAACGUGGGUUCUACGAGGCAUAGAACACGAUCCCCCGCCCGCCGCCGAUCCACGUGAGCCGGCUGAUUGCGCAAUAGUGCACGCUGACUUUGACCCCCGUGCAGGCAUGCAUAUCCGGGUCACAGGCGCUUCAUAUUUCAGAGGCAACAUGGCCACGGUAGAAGGAACACGUGAACGUAAAAAAACACCCGAAAAUGCGCAUUUUCUUGGUCAGAGCCGCAUUUUUCCCCGUAGAAGAGUGGAUAAGUGCCUUCGUCAUUGAACAUCCGACUUAGGCUUGACAAGUGCUGGGAGAAAAUGAAGUACCAGGAAUGAGAAGAGGAUGACAACUCACACAAGUCCUUAUUCAAGGUAGCCCCAAGGCCAGACUAUGCUGACAGCAUAGCCCAGUCUCCAGCCAUGAAAAGCUGAGGUUCACUGUUAUCUGGGGAACAUGAAAUUAGGAAUACUUUAGAUCCAGGUCAUACUGCUGUCCAUGGUGGCUACUAAGAGAGUCCUGUCAGAAUGUGGAUAGUGUCCAACUCCAACUUCCUCAAUGUCCAUGCCAGGUUCUGUGAUGUCCCAGAGUUGACUCACUAGCUAGAUUUUUACAUCACCACUGCUAGCUGCAGUUCAGUUUCCCCUAGUAAAUGAACUUGUCACCUUGCAUGGUUUGUGUGCAUUUAUGUUAAAUACAGACUAAGAUUGGUGACAGUUAUUCCACAUAUCACUGCCUCCUAGCAUCAUGAUAUGACAAAUGUUCAGUCUGUUGACAGAUUAAAAGAGGAAUUUUGCUUCCGUGAAGUAACCUUUUUAACUCACUUAUCUUGUUGCAUUGUAUAAAUUAGUUCAUGAUCCUUGUAAAGACUUGUUUUGAAUAAAGGAUGCAGCAUGCAAUUUGUUGUCAGCAUAGUGUGGCCUGUAGUAGAGAUACAAAAUAGAUUGUGAAACUGAGGCAAACAUUGGGUAAAUGGGAAGUGAAAAUACAUGCAGCCCACAUGAAAGAACUACUUGCAGAAUGCAUUCUUGCAUAGUAUAACUUCUGCAUUAAAAGUCAACAAGGUUGUAAAAUGUUCACACCUAAUGUGGUAUAUGACUUCACUGAGCUGAGGAAUAUACAACUGUGCUUAUAAUUUUUUGUUCUGGUCAAGUUGGUCUUCAUUAUUCACACUUCCUAAGACCUUUAUUAUUUACACUGACAAUUAAACAUUCCCUGCAACCUGUCACAAGUUCUCAGAAUGUCCAGAAUAUAGUUGUCUCUACAUGUAGAUGCAGGUUAUUAUAAAUACAAAUGAUUUAUACAUAUGCACACAUAUCUUGGGGCUACCUUGAAUAAGGACUUGUGUGAGUUGUCAUCCUCUUCUCAUUCCUGGUACUUCAUUUUCUCCCAGCACUUGUCAAGCCUUAAACAUAGAUAACACAUGGUAAACAUGGCUUCAAGGUACAAUGGUAGGGAUAGUGGAUUACAUAAUUUUUUCCUGAUGACAUAGUUGUUGACAAAGUGGAAAUCUGAAGAGCAAUUCUUUGUCAGUAGUAUACCAGACCAAUUGAUUGUAACCGGACCACCUUUGAUUUUAUAUCCAAUGUCUGCAAGUACUAGUACCUUUUUACAUAAGCUUUUAAAAUCGUACCAGUAAUAAAACUUACACUUACUUACAGUAAGAAAAAUAUUACAGCUUUAAGUCCAAA
Branchiostoma floridae (Florida lancelet) is the source of this 1690-nucleotide long non-coding RNA. RefSeq lists it as uncharacterized. Lineage: Eukaryota; Metazoa; Chordata; Leptocardii; Amphioxiformes; Branchiostomatidae. The record is from RefSeq and is a predicted model, not a curated record. The transcript has 4 exons.